This 330-nucleotide ribosomal RNA is filed under the name uncultured bacterium. Its description in RNAcentral is "bacterial SSU rRNA". It matches the Rfam family "Bacterial small subunit ribosomal RNA", at positions 223 to 543 of the family's 1533-position model. The record is from RNAcentral.
GGAGCGGCCGAUGGCAGAUUAGGUAGUUGGUGGGAUAAAAGCUUACCAAGCCGACGAUCUGUAGCUGGUCUGAGAGGACGACCAGCCACACUGGGACUGAGACACGGCCCAGACUCCUACGGGAGGCAGCAGUGGGGAAUUUUGGACAAUGGGCGAAAGCCUGAUCCAGCCAUGCCGCGUGCAGGAUGAAGGCCUUCGGGUUGUAAACUGCUUUUGUACGGAACGAAAAGACUCUUUCUAAUAAAGAGGGUCCAUGACGGUACCGUAAGAAUAAGCACCGGCUAACUACGUGCCAGCAGCCGCGGUAAUACGUAGGGUGCGAGCGUUAAU